CGGAUAGUGGAAGAGUGGUCAUCUUCGCUGGUCUUGGACUCCAGAGGACGUAGGUUCGAAUCCUGCCUAUCCGACCA
RNAcentral lists this transfer RNA (77 nucleotides) under Microscilla marina ATCC 23134. RNAcentral describes it as "tRNA-Pro". It matches the Rfam family "tRNA". From Rfam's summary of the family: Transfer RNA (tRNA) molecules are approximately 80 nucleotides in length. Lineage: Bacteria; Pseudomonadati; Bacteroidota; Cytophagia; Cytophagales; Microscillaceae. The record is from RNAcentral.